This 120-nucleotide ribosomal RNA is filed under the name Chrysemys picta bellii (western painted turtle). Lineage: Eukaryota; Metazoa; Chordata; Testudines; Emydidae. The record is from RNAcentral.
CUCUAUGGCCAUCCCACCCUGAAACGCCUGAUCACCUCUGAUUUCAAAGGCUAAGCAGGGUCAGGCCUGGUGAGUAGCUGGCGGGGAGACCUCUCUUGGGAAUACUAGAGGCUGUAGCUC